UCGUGUCUGACUCUUUGCAACCCCAUACACACCAGGAUUUCCUGUCCUUCGCUACCAUCCGGAGUUUGCUCAAACUCAUGUCCAUUGAGUUGGUGAUGACAUCCAACCAUCUCAUCCUCUGUCAUCCCCUUCUCCUCCUGCCCUCAAUCUUUCCCAGCGUCAGGGUCUUUUC
Cervus elaphus (red deer) is the source of this 172-nucleotide long non-coding RNA. RefSeq lists it as uncharacterized. NCBI's taxonomy places the organism in Eukaryota, Metazoa, Chordata, Mammalia, Artiodactyla, Cervidae. The record is from RefSeq and is a predicted model, not a curated record. The transcript has 3 exons.